CCUACGGGAUGCAGCAGUGAGGAAUAUUGGUCAAUGGACGAGAGUCUGAACCAGCCAAGUAGCGUGAAGGAUGACUGCCCUAUGGGUUGUAAACUUCUUUUAUAUGGGAAUAAAAUGUUCCACGUGUGGGAUUUUGUAUGUACCAUAUGAAUAAGGAUCGGCUAACUCCGUGCCAGCAGCCGCGGUAAUACGGAGGAUCCGAGCGUUAUCCGGAUUUAUUGGGUUUAAAGGGAGCGUAGGUGGAUUGUUAAGUCAGUUGUGAAAGUUUUCGGCUCAACCGUAAAAUUGCAGUUGAAACUGGCAGUCUUGAGUACAGUAGAGGUGGGCGGAAUUCGUGGUGUAGCGGUGAAAUGCUUAGAUAUCACGAAGAACUCCGAUUGCGAAGGCAGUUCACUGGACUGCAACUGACACUGAGGCUCGAAAGUGUGGGUAUCAAACAGGAUUAGAUACCCCUGUAGUC
This 460-nucleotide ribosomal RNA is filed under the name uncultured bacterium. Its description in RNAcentral is "partial 16S ribosomal RNA". It matches the Rfam family "Bacterial small subunit ribosomal RNA", at positions 338 to 795 of the family's 1533-position model. The record is from RNAcentral.